GUCAGCUCAGUCCAAGAGCUUGGAAAAGUAAUCUCAACCCCACUCCACAGCUGUGAGAAGCGGGUCUGGGGUAACUGCCGUGCGAGAUUCAUUAUCGCCAUCACGCUCAACAGCCACGGCGGUGUCGGUGCCUCCUAAAAUACAUCGGCGGUUAUUGUCUGAUUACUUCUACAGAUAAUUUUCGUCACAGGGUUUCAGCUCUACUGUAGGACGCAUGAUGAUCCAGGACACCUGUUUCCACCAGAGUGCUGCCUCAGUCAAGCGCUCUGCAGGGCCGUAAUAGCAACUUCCUCCUUAUCAUUAAAAUCCCAUUCCGAUGCUCCC
RNAcentral lists this long non-coding RNA (324 nucleotides) under Rattus norvegicus (Norway rat). RNAcentral describes it as "long non-coding RNA NONRATT023043". Lineage: Eukaryota; Metazoa; Chordata; Mammalia; Rodentia; Muridae. The record is from RNAcentral.